UACGUAGGGCGCAAGCGUUGUUCGGAAUUAUUGGGCGUAAAGAGCUCGUAGGCGGUUUGUCGCGUCGGGAGUGAAAACGCCGUGCUUAACACGGCGCUUGCUUUCGAUACGGGCAGACUAGAGGUAUGCAGGGGAGAACGGAAUUCCUGGUGUAGCGGUGAAAUGCGCAGAUAUCAGGAGGAACACCGGUGGCGAAGGCGGUUCUCUGGGCAUUACCUGACGCUGAGGAGCGAAAGUGUGGGGAGCGAACAGG
This 253-nucleotide ribosomal RNA is filed under the name uncultured bacterium. Its description in RNAcentral is "partial 16S ribosomal RNA". It matches the Rfam family "Bacterial small subunit ribosomal RNA", at positions 524 to 776 of the family's 1533-position model. The record is from RNAcentral.